AGUAAGAUAAUGUCUGUUAAUAUUUUCAAGGUUAAAAGUGUAUACUUAUAUGAAUUU
Molecule: transfer RNA, 57 nt
Filed under: Oxyopes licenti
Lineage: Eukaryota; Metazoa; Arthropoda; Arachnida; Araneae; Oxyopidae
Description: tRNA-Trp
Source: RNAcentral